RNAcentral lists this ribosomal RNA (497 nucleotides) under uncultured bacterium. Its description in RNAcentral is "partial 16S ribosomal RNA". It matches the Rfam family "Bacterial small subunit ribosomal RNA", at positions 28 to 507 of the family's 1533-position model. The record is from RNAcentral.
GAUGAACGCUGGCGGCGUGCUUAAUACAUGCAAGUCGAACGAAAAGACGCGGAGCUUGCUGGGCUGUCGAUAGGCGCGGGGGGGAGUGAAACACGUGGAUAACGUACCUAUCAGUCUGGGAAAAUUUCGGGAAAGCGGAGCAUAUAGCGUAUAAGAUACUGAUGCGCAUGGGUGAUUAGAGAGAGACGGCUGUGGGGUAUGGAAUAGCUGGAUCUGCGCCGCAUUAGCUGGUUGGUAAGGUAACGGCUUAUUACGGCAACGAGGCGUAGCCGACCGGUGAGGCUGAUCGGCCACACUGGAAGUGAGACACGGUCCAGACUCCUACGGGAGGGAGCAGUCGGGAAUCGGCCGCAGUAGGCGAAAGCCUGACGCAACGGCGGCGCGUGAGUGAUGGAAGUCUUCGGAGCGUAAAACUCUGUUACUAGGGAAGAACAAAUUUGUAAGUAACUAAACACGGCUUGACGGUACCUAAUCAGAAAGCCACGGCUAACUACGUG